CUUAGCCCAUCAAUUUAAAAAUUCAAAAUGCACACUCAACGGUCACAUUUUCCUAGGAUCAUCCUAUUUAAUGCCCUUCUACUUGUCAACUCCAUCGAAAUCCUUCAUUUCUUGUGGCACCGUCUAAAAUUUGCUUCGAUUGAAGAAAUUUUGACGCCCAUGACAGCGUUGAAAUUUCUUCAAUGCAAACAAAUUUUUUAUCUUCCUUUCAUCGAGGAUUUUCAUACCAUGUGAAGGAGAGAUCAGUUCCAUCAGUUCCAAGUCGUUCGGGUGUUUGGUUAGUUAGGCCUAAGAAGUAAGGGCUAGUGAAAGAGAAGCAUUUGAUUGUCCUACAAGUAUCUGAAUCGCCAAUGAAAGCAGAGGUUAUUUCCUCUGAAUUUCCACGAAUUGUUCAGGUUUGGAUUCUGUGAUUGUGUUGUUCUGUUGUUCUCUUUUUUAUUUUGGAGUGUUCUAGGAAAUUUUGAGGUUUGUUAUUUUUUAGUUUUUUUGGCUUGCCUUUAAUCACGCUCGUUUGGGAAUAGACAGGCUUCAGAGAAUGAAUCUCCUUUUUAAGGGUUCGUUGGGGAGCGAAGUGACCAUAUGGCAUCCCUUUCUGCACCUGCUCAGUCUCUCUCUUGCCUUUUUCAUACUACAUAUUUUUGUUUCUCAAUUUAGUGUCAGUGUCAACCAUGUCUAUGCUUUGGCCAUUCUCAUUUCCACUUUCCACUACUCUAAAAAUGUAUCUGCAAUUGAUCAGGUAAAAGUGUUUCAAUUCUCUGUCUUUGGUUCAUCUCCGUUAGUUAGUCUUAAGAGUAAGGGAGAUAAUUCGUUUUUCUUGUUUCCCUCCAUGUAUUGAUUUUUAGUUUUUUAGGGAUGCUUGGUUGGUUUGAAUGCACGAAACAUUUGCUGGUACACGAUUCAAA
This is a long non-coding RNA of Cucumis sativus (cucumber), 902 nucleotides long. RefSeq lists it as uncharacterized. NCBI's taxonomy places the organism in Eukaryota, Viridiplantae, Streptophyta, Magnoliopsida, Cucurbitales, Cucurbitaceae. The record is from RefSeq and is a predicted model, not a curated record. The transcript has 2 exons.